CCCACCCACUCUUGCUACUUCACUGGUCAAUAAAGCCUCUCCUCGGAGUAUUUCUGCUCUCCUAUAGAGUAAGACUAGUAAUGACGUCAUUCGCAUGAUCGUCACCCAAUUCAGACCCUUACUCAUCAGUAGGCUCUAGCUCUUAAGGUAGGACGGUAGGAGAAGAGCCAAAUCGGAUUUUAAUGUGUUUUAAACUGUCGUGUUAGCUGUAGAAAUCUAAUUGUAGACCCUGUAAAUAUAUGUGAAUCGUAAUGAAUAAUAAAUAACUUUAAGUGUUGAUAAUAUACGUGUUAAGUGUCGGACUAUGUGUGUAUUAUUAUGGACGAAAAGGAAGUUUUGGACCCCAAGGAAGGAAUGGAUAGGCCUCAAACCAGCAACCCAAUUCCGCUUAUGGCAGAUCAAUAAAUUACCCCCUACUCGAUGUUGGGAAGGGUCCGGUAACCCAACAUAAUGGUCCUUCGAGCCGGAUUAAACUCCAGUAAACCGGACAAAGGAAACUGCCAUCGCCGAGGAUACGUGGCUUUGGCGCCAAACGGAAUAAAGGAUUCCAAGCUUUAUUGUACAUCUAUACAAUUGGCAGCCAUAAGCCAAGGCUAGCUCCAACGUCUUUAAUGUGAACAAUUGCUCAAAUUCUAACUGGAUAUAAGGAAGACUCAAGAUGGCUAACUUUGGAUCUAUUUGGAAUAUCAUCAAACACCAAACGCACUGAAUUAGAAUUGGAAACCGAUCUACCACCAAUACCCGUUUCUGGACUCUACGGAUACUCGUCGGAUUUUAUCAUCAACCUAGGCCCACUGUCUGGUUGCGCAGAAUCAGCUGUUGACGAUUUUCUUCGCAUGACGAACGAUGCCAAAAUUCAACAGACGAUCCAUGACGUCAUCGAGGAGACAUGGAUCGAGUUACAGCUGACACAUAUUCAAGAUCAUUAUCGGGCAAUCAAAAUAUGUACCCAAACAAACUAAGCCUGGUCAUGACAACUCAGCUAUCGUAUUUGUUGGAGAACACACAAUCUUGGAUAUACGGAAUGGAAACUGGCCACCAACUAUCAAUUGUAACGGAUACGGACAACCGUCUGACUUGGAAUGCAUCACUAUCCCGUUUUCAUCACAAACCACAAUUCGAGAUCACUUCUAUCACUGUUUGGAUGGAUCGUACAGCACAACGGAGCCAAGUGGCUGCACCUACUUGGUCAGGUAAGCAGCUUACUGUAUAUGCCCAGCCGAGCUAGGCAUGAGCAAUUUCGUUACUCACACCAAUAAUACAUUUUCGGGAUCAACGACGUCAUCAAUCCACGCUCUCGAGAUCGAACUCUUCUGGAAACCUGGUGAGAGCUGGCAACCAAAUCUGUACACAUGG
This is a long non-coding RNA of Aedes aegypti (yellow fever mosquito), 1356 nucleotides long. RefSeq lists it as uncharacterized. The record is from RefSeq and is a predicted model, not a curated record. NCBI's taxonomy places the organism in Eukaryota, Metazoa, Arthropoda, Insecta, Diptera, Culicidae. The transcript is spliced from 2 exons.